AUUGAACGCUGGCGGCAUGCUUUACACAUGCAAGUCGGACGGCAGCACAGAGAAGCUUGCUUCUUGGGUGGCGAGUGGCGAACGGGUGAGUAACAUAUCGGAACGUACCGAGCAGUGGGGGAUAACUAAUCGAAAGAUUAGCUAAUACCGCAUAUAUUCUGAGGAAGAAAGCAGGGGACCAUUUGGCCUUGCGCUGUUUGAGCGGCCGAUAUCUGAUUAGCUAGUUGGUGGGGUAAAGGCCUACCAAGGCGACGAUCAGUAGCGGGUCUGAGAGGAUGAUCCGCCACACUGGGACUGAGACACGGCCCAGACUCCUACGGGAGGCAGCAGUGGGGAGUUUUGGACAAUGGGCGCAAGCCUGAUCCAGCCAUGCCGCGUGUCUGAAGAAGGCCUUCGGGUUGUAAAGGACUUUUGUCAGGGAAGAAAAGGGCGGGGUUAAUACCCCUGUCUGAUGACGGUACCUGAAGAAUAAGCCCCG
This 478-nucleotide ribosomal RNA is filed under the name Neisseria mucosa. Its description in RNAcentral is "bacterial SSU rRNA". It matches the Rfam family "Bacterial small subunit ribosomal RNA", at positions 30 to 495 of the family's 1533-position model. The record is from RNAcentral. Lineage: Bacteria; Pseudomonadati; Pseudomonadota; Betaproteobacteria; Neisseriales; Neisseriaceae.